This is a long non-coding RNA of Spinacia oleracea (spinach), 550 nucleotides long. RefSeq lists it as uncharacterized. NCBI's taxonomy places the organism in Eukaryota, Viridiplantae, Streptophyta, Magnoliopsida, Caryophyllales, Amaranthaceae. The record is from RefSeq and is a predicted model, not a curated record. The transcript is spliced from 2 exons.
ACUAAGUCGCAAAUGUGAAAUAACCUAAUUCCUUUUCUCGGUCUCCACUCUCUAGACCGCCGCUCAUCCUCUCACUCACUCUCUUUCUCUCUCUUCUCAUUCUCUAUUUCUCUUAGUCACUUACAAUCUACAGAUCUGAGAUAUCCAUCAUCUCCUCUUUGGGUCUUUGAUCUCAUACUACUAUUCUCCAUCAUCUCCUCAACACUCACUACUUACCGUCGUCACCGGCCGUUCACCACUUCGUCAGAGUUUUCAAGGGAUUGUAUAUGGACUUUCAAGUGGUGGGGAAAUGCAUGAUUCUUCUGCCACAACUCUUCCGGCUGGUGUAAAGUUGAUACUUACUUGAAGUUUCAAGUUAAAUUGGAGGAUGGUGUACCAGAUUUUCAAAGAUCAAGCUUGAAAUUCCUAAAGCUUUUUUAUUUUAUCUUGUGUAAUGGAGUGGAUUAUUUAUUGUUUAUUUAGUUGAUUAAUUAGUUACAACCGACUCGUGAGGCGUUGAAUACUUUAUUUAUACAACAUCUCGUCAUAUAUUAUUCAGUCAUCAUAAACA